GUGAGGAUAGCUCAGUUGGGAGAGCGUCAGAUUGAAGAUUACGUGUUUAAUCCACGUUCAUCGCA
Molecule: non-coding RNA, 65 nt
Organism: Gossypium raimondii (Peruvian cotton)
Lineage: Eukaryota; Viridiplantae; Streptophyta; Magnoliopsida; Malvales; Malvaceae
Source: Rfam